This 513-nucleotide ribosomal RNA is filed under the name uncultured Gammaproteobacteria bacterium. Its description in RNAcentral is "partial 16S ribosomal RNA". Lineage: Bacteria; Pseudomonadati; Pseudomonadota; Gammaproteobacteria. The record is from RNAcentral.
GUACCGCGGCUGCUGGCACGGAGUUAGCCGGUGCUUCUUCUGAGGGUAACGUCAGGGCUAAGUGGUAUUAACACUCAACUUUUCCUCCCCUCUGAAAGUGCUUUACAACCCUAGAGCCUUCUUCACACACGCGGCAUGGCUGCAUCAGGCUUUCGCCCAUUGUGCAAUAUUCCCCACUGCUGCCUCCCGUAGGAGUUCGGGCCGUGUCUCAGUCCCGAUGUGGCUGAUCAUCCUCUCAGACCAGCUAGAGAUCGUCGCCUUGGUGAGCCUUUACAUCACCAACUAGCUAAUCUCACGCAGGCUCAUCGAAUAGCGAGAGCUCAAAGAGCCCCCUUUCCCCCGUAGGGCGUAUGCGGUAUUAGCAUGCGUUUCCACAUGUUGUCCCCCACUACUCGGUAGAUUCCUACGCGUUACUCACCCGUCCGCCGCUCUACUCACACCGAAGUGCUUUCUCGCUCGACUUGCAUGUGUUAGGCCUGCCGCCAGCGUUCAAUCUGAGCCAUGAUCAAACUC